Molecule: unclassified non-coding RNA, 222 nt
Filed under: uncultured Actinomycetes bacterium
Lineage: Bacteria; Bacillati; Actinomycetota; Actinomycetes
Description: uncultured actinobacterium contains 16S-23S intergenic spacer region
Rfam family: Bacterial small subunit ribosomal RNA
Source: RNAcentral
UGGGUUUGACAUAUACCGGAAAGCCGUAGAGAUACGGCCCCCCUUGUGGUCGGUAUACAGGUGGUGCAUGGCUGUCGUCAGCUCGUGUCGUGAGAUGUUGGGUUAAGUCCCGCAACGAGCGCAACCCUCGUUCCAUGUUGCCAGCGGGUUAUGCCGGGGACUCAUGGGAGACUGCCGGGGUCAACUCGGAGGAAGGUGGGGAUGACGUCCCUUACAGCGUAC